UCUCUACGGAAUAACUCAGGGAAACUUGUGCUAAUACCGUAUACGCCCUUCGGGGGAAAGAUUUAUCGGAGAUGGAUGAGCCCGCGUUGGAUUAGCUAGUUGGUGGGGUAAAGGCCUACCAAGGCGACGAUCCAUAGCUGGUCUGAGAGGAUGAUCAGCCACAUUGGGACUGAGACACGGCCCAAACUCCUACGGGAGGCAGCAGUGGGGAAUAUUGGACAAUGGGCGCAAGCCUGAUCCAGCCAUGCCGCGUGAGUGAUGAAGGCCCUAGGGUUGUAAAGCUCUUUCACCGGUGAAGAUAAUGACGGUAACCGGAGAAGAAGCCCCGGCUAACUUCGUGC
RNAcentral lists this ribosomal RNA (341 nucleotides) under Rhizobiaceae bacterium. RNAcentral's name for it is "bacterial SSU rRNA". It matches the Rfam family "Bacterial small subunit ribosomal RNA", at positions 133 to 508 of the family's 1533-position model. Lineage: Bacteria; Pseudomonadati; Pseudomonadota; Alphaproteobacteria; Hyphomicrobiales; Rhizobiaceae. The record is from RNAcentral.